This 253-nucleotide ribosomal RNA is filed under the name uncultured prokaryote. RNAcentral's name for it is "partial 16S ribosomal RNA". It matches the Rfam family "Bacterial small subunit ribosomal RNA", at positions 524 to 776 of the family's 1533-position model. The record is from RNAcentral.
UACGAGGGGUCCUAGCGUUGUUCGGAAUCAUUGGGCGUAAAGAGUAUGUAGGUGGCCUUGCAAGUCAGUUGUGAAAGCCCCGGGCUCAACCCGGGAAGUGCUUCUGAUACUGCUUGGCUUGAGUACUGGAGAGGGUAGUGGAAUUCCUGGUGUAGUGGUGAAAUACGUAGAUAUCAGGAGGAACAUCGGUGGCGAAGGCGGCUACCUGGCCAUGUACUGACACUGAGAUACGAAAGCGUGGGGAGCAAACAGG